CCAAAAGCGUAUAUUAAAGUUGUUGCAGUUAAAAAGCUCGUAGUUGAAUUUCGGGAUCAAUACGUCGGUCGUGCUUUCUGGUACGUACUGGCGUCAUUGGUUUCUCCCUUCUGACGAACCAUGAUAUCAUUAAUUUGGUGCUAUGGGGAGUUAGGACUGUUACUUUGAAAAAAUUAGAGUGUUUAAAGCAGGCAUUCGCUUGAAUACAUUAGCAUGGAAUAAUGAAAUAGGCCGUUCGACCCUAUUUUGUUGGUUUCUAGGAUCAACGUAAUGAUUAAUAGGGAUAGUUGGGGGCAUUAGUAUUCAAUUGUCAGAGGUGAAAUUCUUGGAUUUAUUGAAGACUAACUACUGCGAAAGCAUUUGCCAAGGAUGUUUUCAUUAAUCAAGAACGAAAGUUAGGGGAUCGAAGACGAUCAGAUACCGUCGUAGUCUUAACCAUAAACUAUGCCGACUAGGGAUCGGAUGAUGUUAAUUUUAUAAUGACUCAUUCGGCGCCUUACG
This 501-nucleotide ribosomal RNA is filed under the name uncultured Glomeromycotina. Its description in RNAcentral is "partial small subunit ribosomal RNA". It matches the Rfam family "Eukaryotic small subunit ribosomal RNA", at positions 591 to 1092 of the family's 1831-position model. Lineage: Eukaryota; Fungi; Glomeromycota. The record is from RNAcentral.